GCUGCCGCCGGCCGGCCGGGCGGGGGUCUCCCGGCUCCUCCGCGGCGCUGAGCGGGUGCGUGUCCCUCGCUCGUCCGGUUUGGGUCGCUUUGAGUGAAGAUGAAGCGGGUGUGGAGAAGCGGCAAGGCCCGUUCUCUUUCCUCGUCCUCCCGCUCACCACCAAGUGGCCCCUAAGAGGCAGAAGCUCCCAGAUGCCUCCCUUGAUGUGCGUGACAAAAUGGGGCUUUCAUCCUGCGAGGCCGGGUGUUCCUUCGUCUUUCCCAUUCCAUGACAUUCGUGAGCCGACCCUGCCCCGCGGACACCGCGGUGGAUGACAGCCCCAGCGUCCCUGCUGCGGAGCUCGGGUCCCCUGGGGGACGUAGACGCUUCACCAUCACCAGGACCAUGUCAACUGAAACAUCAACUGGGCCAGCUGAGAUUACCAGAAAGUGAGUCUCAGAAGGUGAAGAGCUGGAAAGAUUUGAGAGAAGUCACUAAGGAUACUGCACACCCAAGCAACAACUCUGUACCAUCGCGUGUGUAUAUAUGUAUUAAGUAUAUUACAAAAUACAGGAUUGAUUUACA
This is a long non-coding RNA of Nyctereutes procyonoides (raccoon dog), 564 nucleotides long. RefSeq lists it as uncharacterized. The record is from RefSeq and is a predicted model, not a curated record. NCBI's taxonomy places the organism in Eukaryota, Metazoa, Chordata, Mammalia, Carnivora, Canidae. The transcript is spliced from 3 exons.